CCCUUAGAUGUUCUGGGCUGCACGCGUGCUACAAUGAAGCGUCCAACAAGAUGCGAAGCCGAAAGGCUCAGCGGAUCUUUGAAGUCGUUUCGUGACCGGGACAGUUGAUUGCAAUUAUUCGACUCGAACGAGGAAUUCCUUGUAAUCGCGAUUCAUCAUAUGGCGCUGAAUACGUCCCUGCCCUUUGUACACACCGCCCGUCGCUCCUACCGAUUGAGCGAUCCGGUGAAUUAUUUGGAGUGUCCACGCAAGCCAAUCCGUUUACGUGGGUGCGAAAUUUUGUAAACCUUAUCGCUUAGAGGAAGGAAAAGUCGUAACA
This 319-nucleotide ribosomal RNA is filed under the name uncultured eukaryote. RNAcentral describes it as "partial 18S ribosomal RNA". It matches the Rfam family "Eukaryotic small subunit ribosomal RNA", at positions 1470 to 1796 of the family's 1831-position model. The record is from RNAcentral.